UACAGAGGGGGCAAGCGUUGUUCGGAAUUACUGGGCGUAAAGGGCGCGUAGGCGGCCUGCUAAGUCGAACGUGAAAUCCCUGGGCUUAACCCAGGAACUGCGUCCGAUACUGGCAGGCUUGAAUCCGGGAGAGGGAUGCGGAAUUCCAGGUGUAGCGGUGAAAUGCGUAGAUAUCUGGAGGAACACCGGUGGCGAAGGCGGCAUCCUGGACCGGCAUUGACGUUGAGGCGCGAAAGCCAGGGGAGCAAACGGG
RNAcentral lists this ribosomal RNA (253 nucleotides) under uncultured bacterium. RNAcentral describes it as "partial 16S ribosomal RNA". It matches the Rfam family "Bacterial small subunit ribosomal RNA", at positions 524 to 776 of the family's 1533-position model. The record is from RNAcentral.